GUACUGCUGAAGAGUCCCAAACUAAGACGAAAGGGCUGUCCAGUAC
This 46-nucleotide non-coding RNA is filed under the name Trichobilharzia regenti. Lineage: Eukaryota; Metazoa; Platyhelminthes; Trematoda; Strigeidida; Schistosomatidae. The record is from RNAcentral.